GAUGAACGCUGGCGGCGUGCCUAAUACAUGCAAGUCGAGCGAACAGAUAAGGAGCUUGCUCCUUUGACGUUAGCGGCGGACGGGUGAGUAACACGUGGAUAACCUACCUAUAAGACUGGGAUAACUUCGGGAAACCGGAGCUAAUACCGGAUAACAUAUUGAACCGCAUGGUUCAAUAGUGAAAGGCGGCUUUGCUGUCACUUAUAGAUGGAUCCGCGCCGUAUUAGCUAGUUGGUAAGGUAACGGCUUACCAAGGCAACGAUACGUGGCCGACCUGAGAGGGUGAUCGGCCACACUGGAACUGAGUCACGGUCCAGACUCCUACGGGAGGCAGCAGUAGGGAAUCUUCCGCAAUGGGCGAAAGCCUGACGGAGCAACGCCGCGUGAGUGAUGAAGGUCUUCGGAUCGUAAAACUCUGUUAUCAGGGAAGAACAAAUGUGUAAGUAACUGUGCACAUCUUGACGGUACCUGAUCAGAAAGCCACGGCUAACUACGUG
Molecule: ribosomal RNA, 497 nt
Filed under: uncultured bacterium
Lineage: Bacteria
Description: partial 16S ribosomal RNA
Rfam family: Bacterial small subunit ribosomal RNA
Source: RNAcentral